Molecule: long non-coding RNA, 2121 nt
Filed under: Homo sapiens (human)
Lineage: Eukaryota; Metazoa; Chordata; Mammalia; Primates; Hominidae
Description: HSALNT0236010
Source: RNAcentral
GCGUAUUGGGGGUGGGGAGGGGCACAACCCCCUAAGAGUCUCUCUUGCUCCUGGACGGCAUGAUGGGAAGUGACCUGUUCCACUUGUCGAGAACUAGUGGACCCCAUGUUUCCCUCUAGCUUGGACACUAUGGUUCUCAGGAGGAAUCCUCACCCCCGGCCAGGAGCCCUUCUCCUCCACCUACUACUGCUGGGCUCUACCUCCCCCACUUUUAAUUUUAAGCCUUGGCUCAAAAUUCACUCCCCAAUAUUUCUCCCCUUCUCUCUACUUUCGUCCUCAAUAAUCCCAAGCAGCUGGGGUGUACAAGUCGUUUUCACCUCUUGGGACCGUGCUAAAGGGGGCAGCCUAUGAUUACCAUGAGGGUAUGGGAGCCCUGAACUGCAAAUCUAUCAUUUCCAGAGAAGCCAGAAAUCUGAAAUUUUCUGUGCAAUUUCUGAAACUUUAAAUCAGAAUUUUUUCUAAAAUUCAAUGGGUCAGAUACCACAGUCUGUGUAAUCAAUCCAUUCCAAAGUCUCCUCCUUUUGCUAAAGGAGAAGAUUCCUUAAAACAAGGCAGAAGCCAACUGAAGCAAGGGAGAACCACCUCCCACCCCUCCCCACACACACUUUCCACACCCAGUAACUAGGUCUCUGGGCGGAUAAUUCUGUUUUGUUUUGUUUUUUUUAAUUUUGGACAGCUAAUCUCUGUAGUGAGGAACCCAGAACUUUCGGUAAUGUAAGGGAUAUUAGUCUGGUUGUCAGAAAAAUGGGCUGGAGUAUUUGUGCUGUGUCCCUGACCAUAAUUCCUGCUCAGUUGCUUAGCUCCCUGGCAACUAUGUCUGAGGGCUAAACAGGAGUUGGUGUGAUCUUCCAGAAAAAGAACAGGCUUCUUGUCUUGCAGAGGCAGGAAGUCAGAAAACAAGAGUGUGUGUGUGUGUGUCAGGGGGUGGGGGGUGUCAGCCAGGAUCUUGGCCACUGCUCUCCAGCCUGGGUGACAGAGUGAGCCUGUCUCAAAAAAAAAAAAAAAAAGAGUGAGCAAUCCUCAAAGUAUCCAAGAACAACUACACGCCCCAAGGGGAAAACCAGCUGGAUUGCUUAGGCCUUGGCUGUAGUCACUAAAGAAUGGCAUCAAUCUCAGAAACCCUCAAGAUGGGGUCAAUUUAGGAAGAAGCUGUUUAUUCUGUACUGUCUUUGGCCUCCACCUAAGGUCUGGCAUCGACCCACCCUUCAGGCUCAUAGUUCAGCGAGGUUAGAGCACUUAGGGAGAAGCAGGUAACACAUCCAGGGUUUGAGAGAAGACCAGCACACAACUCUCAGUGAUCUGGAUAGAGGAAGACUAAAUUACUGUGGUUCAGGCAGCCUUGCCAGGUGAUGUCUUCCCAAAACUUCUCAGAUGUAUAUUCCUCCCUGAUUGUGCCACCUAGGCCUCCUUCCCUUCAGUUUGGGACUUAAAACUUCCACCAAUAACGUGAGUAUGUGCACCCAUGCAGCAGCCUGUCCGAGGACUCACAACUGGAGACACCUCCCUGCUUGGCGCUGCCCAGAAAACUAUGUAGAUGGCCAAGAAACCGACUUCCAUUAUAAAAUGUUUUUCUGUGUGUACCAGGAAAAAGAUGCUCAAAAUCCAAAUCACCACUUUAUUAUGUGGCAGUCACCAUGGUGCCAGCCUCUGCCUUCCCCAUGUCACCCUCCUAAUCCAGGGCUCUCCAACCAUAUUCAUGUUUGCGUUUUCACAAGUCAAUGUCCAUUAAGGCCUUGUGCUCCCCUUUUCUUCAGUACAGGGCAGGGCCCUUAUAAUUUGGGUCUCAAGAAUUGAUAGUUGUCUCUUAACUGGUUCUGGUGAGGCGCACUCACAGCAGUGAGUGGAGGGUCCUGGGAGGGCAUGGAUGACGGAGGCUGCCCCUAGAGGAGCUGGAUGUAGGAGCAGAGACAUUUCUUGAUCUUUCACUCUGCAAACUGGUCCAAGAACUUGAGAGGGGAUGACUUUGUCAGUGUCCCCAAAAACAUGGAGCGAAGGCAAUGACAAGGGCCUUUGCAGGAUGGAUUCCUUGAACCCAAUGCCCCGGGGACAGAAACCAGACACCAAGAGGAUAAACCGUGGCAAGGGGAAGCGGGGAUCGCCUGCCUGGCCCAGGGCACACAC